This is a long non-coding RNA of Equus caballus (horse), 948 nucleotides long. RefSeq lists it as uncharacterized. Lineage: Eukaryota; Metazoa; Chordata; Mammalia; Perissodactyla; Equidae. The record is from RefSeq and is a predicted model, not a curated record.
UCCCGACGUGCACCGCGCGCGUCUGCGUCACUGCGGGCGACUGCUGCGAGAGGGGCGCGAGGGAGCCGGUUGCCGGGCAACGGGGCUAGGCCGCUCCCGGCAGUCAAGGACCCCCAGAGUCUUGGGUUUCCGGAGGAGGAGCGCGCGCCUGUAAGCUCCAGAAGGGUGGGAUCACAUCUCUAUUUACUCUUGACUGUGUCCCCAGUCCCUGGGAGAGUAGACACUUGAUAACAAGUAAUGGAUGCGUGAAAUCAACUUUUGAGGACAAGGAACAGCAAGGAUUCAUCUUUGAAAAUUUCAGCGCCUGCACAAUGAAUGGUUGCAUUUAAUGUGUGGAUAACUAAGAAAGCAGCGUAAAAAGAGAAUUCAUUCACUCACUCCCAAAUGUUCAAAGGGCUACCGUUUGCUGGGUAAUGCGGUAAGAGACUGAGGACAAGGACCACCUUGGUGAGCAAGAUUAAGGCUCACGGGCUGUAAAUCACAACGCUUCACACUUGAGCUCCAGGAGGGACCUGCAAGACGGCUGUGACCAAGAACUGUCCAUUCUCUCAGUGGUGUUUCUGAUGGCGCAGCAUCCCUCUGCAUUCUGCUGCAGGGAGCCGAAAAACCCGGCCGCAGGCAAGUGUGCCCCGUCUCCUGUAGGGAUGCACAUCAUCGUCCCACCGGGCAGUCUCAACACAAUUUUCCUUCUUCUUUUCCUGGUUCUGACCUCCUUAGUUAUACACUAGCUUCUGAUUACUUGCCUCAUUCUCUCCUUACUUGAUGAGUCAUUUGGGCAAUUCUCCUGCUUACCAAGCCCAGGCCUUCCCCCUCUCUCCCUCCCUUGUGGGUCCCCUUGGUUUAACGCAUUGGCAGCAUUAGAUUGCAGACAGUCCUGCUGGGGAAAGGUCGCCUUGCAACCGGCCCCAUUCUGUCAGCUCCCUCUGCAAAUCCCCUGGUAGCUGACUG